GACGCGGUGAAACAGUAGCGCAAGCGGCUGUGGAGUGUAUAGAAGUGAGAAUGCCGGAAUGAGUAGCGCGAAUGCAGUGAGAAUCUGCAUGGCCGAAAGCCUCAGGUUUCUGGAGGAAGGUUCGUCCGCUCCAGGUUAGUCGGGAGCUAAGGUGAGGCCUAACGGCGUAGCCGAUGCACAGACAGUAGAGAUUCCGUCACCACCAAAAGAGUUAAACACAGGGACACAUAUGAAGUCUCGGAGCCGGGUGUUGGUUCCGGUAGCGAUCGAGGGAAGUUAGUACCGAAGUCUGAGAUGGAAGAUGGCGAGAAAAGCUGUGUGUAUUUCUGCGGUGCCCGUACCGCAAACCGACACAGGUAGGUAGGAAGAAGAUUCUAAGGCCAACGGGAGAAGGGUUGUUAAGGAACUCGGCAAAUUGACCCCGUAACUUCGGGAGAAGGGGUGCUGCAGAGAUGCAGCCGCAGAGAAUCGGCCCAAGCAACUGUUUACCAAAAACACAGGUUUGUGCUAAAUCGAAAGAUGACGUAUACGAGCUGACGCCUGCCCGGUGCUGGAAGGUUAAGAGGAGAUGUGCAAGGAUUGAAUCGAAGCCCCAGUGAACGGCGGCCGUAACUAUAACGGUCCUAAGGUAGCGAAAUUCCUUGUCAGGUAAGUUCUGACCCGCAUGAAAGGCGUAAUGAUUUGGGCACUGUCUCAACAGCCCGCCCGGCGAAAUUGUAGUACCGGUGAAGAUGCCGGUUACCCGCGACAAGACGGAGAGACCCCAUGGAGCUUUACUGUAGCCUAAUAUUGGGUUUCGAUGUUGCAUGCACAGGAUAGAUGGGACUCUGGGAAACCGAUGCUUUGGCGUCGGCGGAGAGGCCGUUGGGAUACCAUCCUUGCGAUAUUGGAAUUCUAACCUGCGCCUUUGAAUCAAGGCGGGGGACAUUGUUAGGUGGGCAGUUUGACUGGGGCGGUCGCCUCCUAAAGAGUAACGGAGGCGUUCAAAGGUUCGCUCAGCUUGAACGGAAAUCAAGCAAAAGAGUGCAAACGCAGAAGCGAGCCUAACUGCGAGACUGACGGGUCGAGCAGUAACGAAAGUUGGAGUUAGUGAUCCGGUGGUAUGUGAGUGGAAAUGCCAUCGCUCAACGGAUAAAAGUUACCCUGGGGAUAACAGGCUGAUCUCCCCCAAGAGUCCACAUCGACGGGGAGGUUUGGCACCUCGAUGUCGGCUCAUCGCAUCCUGGGGCUGUAUUCGGUCCCAAGGGUUUGGCUGUUCGCCAAUUAAAGCGGUACGCGAGCUGGGUUCAGAACGUCGUGAGACAGUUCGGUCCCUAUCUGUCGUGGGCGCAGGAUAUCUGAUGGGAGCUGUUCCUAGUACGAGAGGACCGGAGCGGACGUACCUCUGGCGCACCAGUUGUUCUGCCAAGGGCAUAGCUGGGCAACUAUGUACGGAUCGGAUAAACGCUGAAAGCAUCUAAGCGUGAAGCCGACCCAAAGAUAAGAUAUCCCAUUGUUUCAAACAAGUAAGACCCCUUGAAGACUACAAGGUUGAUAGGCACGAUGUGUAAGUGGAGUGAUCCAUUCAGCAAGCGUGUACUAAUAGGUCGAGGGCUUGACC
Molecule: ribosomal RNA, 1600 nt
Filed under: metagenome
Description: bacterial LSU rRNA
Rfam family: Bacterial large subunit ribosomal RNA
Source: RNAcentral